This 495-nucleotide long non-coding RNA is filed under the name Mytilus galloprovincialis (Mediterranean mussel). The record is from RNAcentral. Lineage: Eukaryota; Metazoa; Mollusca; Bivalvia; Mytilida; Mytilidae.
CCAGACGCCAUCUAAUUAACUAUCGAUUUUGACCUCAGAUGACCAUAUAAGCGAUGUAAACAUGAAUGAAGAUAUGAAUAGAUUAAACCAACACGUGCAAUUGGAUUUUUUUAGGUCUGUUUGAGUUUAUUUUAUAGAUUAAAAAUAUAUGUUUCUCAUUGUUUUAACCGUAUAAGAAUGAUUUUAUAUGGAUCGAAUCAGUAUUCAAAUGAUUUACCGUGUUUCACUUUCAUUGUUGACAUUCUUUUUCUUUAAAUAACCAGUACACGUACAAUGCAUGCGUUGUCAAUCUCUAGCAAGGGGUUAAAUUGAAGUUCACAUGAAUACGGAUUUAAUGAGGUCGACUAAUUCACUUGCAAGUGAAUGAGUAAUUAUCAAUGUUUCAUCGCUUAAUUUGACAAAAUUGAACCAUUUUGGCUGCUUAAAGCGAAUUAUUAUUUCACUAUUUCACUUUCAUUAUUGAUUGAACAAAAACAAAUCUUACUUUAGUUUUUU